AAGAACUCUUGAAUGGAAAAGAGAUGUAACUCCAGUUCCUUCGGAAUCGGUAGUCAAUCCAUUUCCGAUAGGGGUAGUUGACAAUUGAAUCCGAUUUUGACCAUUACUUUCAUAUCCGUAAUAGUGCCAAAAGAAGGCCCGGCUCCAAGUUGUUCAAGAAUAGUGGCGUUGAGUUUCUCAACCCUUUGACUUAGGAUUAGUCAGUUCUAUUUCUCGAUAGGGCGGGGAAGGGAUAUAACUCAG
This 243-nucleotide long non-coding RNA is filed under the name Nicotiana benthamiana. Its description in RNAcentral is "long non-coding RNA (NBEN_LNC001148)". The record is from RNAcentral. Lineage: Eukaryota; Viridiplantae; Streptophyta; Magnoliopsida; Solanales; Solanaceae.